Molecule: ribosomal RNA, 491 nt
Filed under: uncultured bacterium
Lineage: Bacteria
Description: bacterial SSU rRNA
Rfam family: Bacterial small subunit ribosomal RNA
Source: RNAcentral
ACUCAAAUGAAUAGACGGGGGCCCGCACAAGCAGUGGAUUAUGUGGUUUAAUUCGAAGCAACGCGAAGAACCUUACCAGGUCUUGACAUCCCAUGCAUAGCUAGGAGACUAGUGAAGUCCUUCGGGACAUGGAGACAGGUGGUGCAUGGUUGUCGUCAGCUCGUGUCGUGAGAUGUUGGGUUAAGUCCCGCAACGAGCGCAACCCUUACUAUUAUUUGCUACGCAAGAGCACUCUAAUGGGACUGCCGUUGACAAAACGGAGGAAGGUGGGGACGACGUCAAAUCAUCAUGCCCCUUAUGACCUGGGCUACACACGUAAUACAAUGGCGAUUAACAGAGGGAAGCGAUACCGCGAGGAGGAGCAAAACCCCAAAAAUCGCCUCAGUUCGGAUCGCAGGCUGCAACCCGCCUGCGUGAAGUCGGAAUUGCUAGUAAUCGUGGAUCAGCAUGCCACGGUGAAUACGUUCCCGGGCCUUGCACACACCGCCCGU